Molecule: unclassified non-coding RNA, 474 nt
Filed under: uncultured Articulospora
Lineage: Eukaryota; Fungi; Ascomycota; Leotiomycetes; Helotiales; Helotiaceae
Description: sequence contains ITS1, 5.8S rRNA gene, ITS2
Rfam family: 5.8S ribosomal RNA (bases 169-322)
Source: RNAcentral
CCGAAGUACAGGCCCCUUCGGGGGCUAAACUUCCACCCUUUGUUUAUCACACUUUGUUGCUUUGGCGAGACGCCCCUGGGCCACCGGCUUCGGCUGGUGAGCGCUCGCCGGAGAAAACCCAAACCCAAACCUUUUUUAGUGUUGUCUGAGAACUAUUUUAAUAAUUAAAACUUUCAACAACGGAUCUCUUGGCUCUGGCAUCGAUGAAGAACGCAGCGAAAUGCGAUAAGUAAUGUGAAUUGCAGAAUUCAGUGAAUCAUCGAAUCUUUGAACGCACAUUGCGCCCCUUGGUAUUCCGGGGGGCAUGCCUGUUCGAGCGUCAUUAUCACCCCUCAAGCUCAGCUUGGUGUUGGGGCCUGCCCGUCACAGGGCAGCCCCUAAAAGCAGUGGCGGUGCCAUCUGGCUCUACGCGUAGUAAUACUUCUCGCGACAGAGUCCCGGUGGUGUCCUGCCAGAACCCCAAAUUUUAUCACG